Monopterus albus (swamp eel) is the source of this 3282-nucleotide RNA transcript. It is a transcript of the gene named cilia- and flagella-associated protein 47, with no coding region annotated. NCBI's taxonomy places the organism in Eukaryota, Metazoa, Chordata, Actinopteri, Synbranchiformes, Synbranchidae. The record is from RefSeq and is a predicted model, not a curated record. The transcript has 6 exons.
UAGCAACCAACAACCGCUCUGUCCACCACCUGAGCUGUACUAGGUUGUAAAACGAGCGCAACUAGAGUCGUCGUCACCUAGAAACCAUGUGAACAGUCUGUAACAUUCGGGUUACAACAGCUUAACAUGCAUGUUAAUUAAAGGAAAAUAUAUUAGUGACAUUUGUCAUAUGUAAGUAAAUAGUAACUUCAAAGCUACAUCAUGGCUGUAAGCUGCGUUCGAGCUGACCCACGGUUGGUGGAGUUCAACGAUAUCAAAAUCGGGCAUGUUUAUAAGAAGACAGUUACGGUAAAAAAAUAUUGGCAAAACUUCGAAGAAAAUAAUUUUUGAAAAGCCAGCGUUAAAGUUAUUCCAGUUCACAGCAGCUAGCCCAGCCAUGGUGGUGGUUCCUGGUUUGUUAAUUCCAGAGAAACAGGAGGAGGUCAGAGACUGCCUUUUGAUUCAUGUAGAAGAUACAGAGACCAUAAAGAUCCCCCUGCUGGAGUUUCCAAAGGUUUGUUCACUCCUGGUAGACUCUGUACUAGACUUUGGUUGUAUUGCUGCAAAUAAUCAGGUGAUCAGCAAACAUCAUCCUAUAACCAAUAAAGGAACAGCUCCAGCAUAAAACUUGAGAAUCGCUCUGCUAUAGCUCUGCAUAUCAAGACUGAGGUGGUGGACCAGUGCCUUGAGAUCUUUGAUCUGCAGGUAAUCCAGUGAUCCAGGUACAAUUUGAUAAGAACUUGACAAAGUAUCUACAUGUUCAACUUGGUUCCCGUUCCCCUCCAAACCAAGUUUAUGAUUAAGUUCUCUAAAGACAAAUUGUUGUACCAUUGUACAGGGGGCUCCACUCUCGUGUCUGUUGUUUGGGCCUGUUUACUUUGGAACAUCUCGUAUGGAGAAUGUGAUUCUGAAAAACAAUGCUCCUCAGGCCUGUUAUUGGGUCUGCCUGGUCCAGGAUAGUGCUACUGGGACUGAAGUGGUGAUUGUUGGGCAAGGAUGUGCUGUUAAACAUAGUACAGACCAGAUGAUGGCAAGUUGUGGAGAAAAGGUCCCAUAGUGACUAUUGGUAAAUGUCGAUCCUGUAUUUUGAUCAUCUUUACUGACAUUCUAUAAUUCUACACUAUUACAAGUUUGACUUGCAAGUAUAAGGAAAGAAUAAGUGUGUUGCCUUGAGUGAUUGUUAAUGACUGAAGUACUAUGUGCUGUGCUCACAUUUGCAACAGGAUUUCUUUUGUUGACCUAAAAUUGUCUAUGUUCAGUCUUAGACUAAUGUAGAAGUACUUAGUAUUUAUCUUCACCCAGCCUGGUAGUAAUAUUGCAUUGCAUUAUACUUAUCAUCUUGCAGAUGUCUGUUGUGUAAUUUAAGGAGUUCAAGCGAAUUAUAAAUAAAAGACAUGAAUAGUGUAAUGCAUAACAGUGAGUGGAGCACAAUUCAUUGCAUUAAACAUUUUAAUUAUUAUAUAUGCAUUCAGUAUUGGGAAAAUAGAAAUACUAAUGUAAUCAUUGUUUUAAAACAUACUGCCAUCUUUAAACAAGUGUGCAGAUACUGAGAAAUGAAACAACAGGGCUUUGACUGUGCAGUUUAUGUAGGGAACAAACCUCCAAAAGAGCACAGGCGCCACUCUGCUGGAGAGAAUCAAGAAGUGCAGGCCAGCCCCUCAGGAUGUCUCUCAGAUCUUGGUAUGUGUCCCUAAUCAGGGUCGACUGCAACCAUAUGACAGAGCCACUGUGGCAAUAUGCUUCAGCCCCAUCUGCAAGAGGUAAACUGUUUGUGUGAGUCCAGUUGUGUUUGACAUUUUGAAGACACAUUAUUAGAAGAGUCCAAGAUUCCAGUAGUCUAAACAUUUAAUAAUGAUAAUUGUUACUUAGAAAAUGUCAGUAUAUCUCAUGUACAUAUAGAAUUGCAGUUUUGUAAUGUUGUACUGUAGGAGUACUAUAUUUAGGAAACAAAUACAUUAAAAAACCUGUGGGAAGAAAAUGCUAACUCCCCGUCGGGGAAUUGAACCCCGGUCUCCCGCGUGACAGGCGGGGAUACUUACCACUAUACUAACGAGGAGCAUACAGUUAUAAUUUUGGAAAGUUCCAAUUUAUCUUAACCACUCCAAAGCAAUAUUCUGUCUUUCAGUGCAAUGGAAAGGAAGAAAAGUGAUUACUCAGCCAGCCAGCAAGCAAGACUAUUGUCUUUUCCUGCUGUUCGAGUCAGUGGGGAGCAAACAUGGAUGGCUUCACUCACCGUAGUGGUAACAGUAGUGUGGAGCUAGCAGUGACAGGUUCCGGGCUGCCUGUGUCUCUGGUGGCCAGUCCUUCUCGAAGAUUUGAUUUCCUCGCCUGUGUAACAGGUCAACGUGUAGAUGUGCGGUGUGUGCUGCAGAAUCUCUGCCCUCAACUUCCGCUUCCACAAGUUAGCACAUUUCACCACCAAGCCCUCUGUUGGCACCAUAGCCCCUGGUCAAUGCCAGGAUGUCAUUUUGUCUUUCACUGCACAGCAGCAAGGGAGCUUCCAGGUGCGUCAGAUUCUCGAUGUCCUAGGUCAUGUUGUUUACCAGAGCAGUGACAGCACGGGUGUUCCUAAAGUCAAGCUUCACAGUUUCCACACCAUCACUCUACACCUGUCUGCUGUCUGCUGCAGUGAAACUACGCACCCCAUGCCCAUACUCAAUUCUGGUGAAUACUGAAAAAGUAGUACUUGGUUUAGAUAAACAAAACAGACUGAUGUUCAGUGUGGCAUUUCAGGGUUCUUCAUAUGGUUGUGUCGUGGCAAGAGUGAAAUACCAACUGAAUAAAUUCAGACAAACCAUUACAAUUUAAAGGAUCAUUUAAUAUUACAAUUAUUCUAAAUAGAGUAGCAUCUAACAGAUAAUCUUCUAGUUAGGGAACAGAGAACAGAGAUCAGAGAACAGAGACUCUCCUCCUGCAAUGAAAUAGAUAGAGCCUAAAGAUUGUCGGAGCACCAGUCAGUCGUUGUCAGGUCCUUUGUUACCAGUCCUGGGUCAGUCAGCCCCAGUCAGUCAUAUUUUCCCCAGCCGGCUGGGUCCCUAGAAGGUACCUCGUCUACUGGUUACUGCAGCAUGGUCAUCUCCUUUCUAUCCCUGGCUCCCUCAGGCUCACUUCUUUUUAUCAGCUCAGCCACUAGCUACUUCUCAACAGCUGGACUCUGUCCCCCUUGACGUCUCUGCGACCCCCCUUCUCACUCCAUUCUAGGAAGACAGGAAGGUUGACUCCCAAUCUUCUGGCACAGAGGAUUCAUCUCUGACCAUACUAGGCCUUAACUAGGAUUCUAAGUAUUAAUUAUAUAACCACUUA